UUCUUGAAACCAAUUACAUCAAUAUUUAUCCAAAUAUAUAGAAAGCAAUUUUGAUAAGACCUGUUAGUUUUAUAUUCAAGAAAAAAGAUUGCACUAUUGCAUUGUGUUUUCAGUUUUCCCCUUUGUUAAAGUUAUGCUUCCAGAACUCUUAUUUAUUGCAACAUUUUAAUUUAGUUUAAAAAAGUUUACCCAUUACAUUGAUUAUGUUUUGUGGUAUGUGUUUGUAGAAGCUGUCAUCACAUGUUUUAUUUUUAUUGGAAAGACAGAGAAGAAGUUUUCUUGAAACCGGAUCCUCUCACCCCAAAUAUCAACUUAUACGCCCCAACCCCUCUGAAGCGAACACUUGAAAUAUUCUUUCGUUUGAUCUCAGCAAACCAAAUGUCCAGAAUCUUGAAGCAAAGCAGAGACAUAACGAUUGAUUUUCAUCCACUUUUUUCUUCGAUAUCUCUGCUUUCACCCAAAUCGACGCUUCUCACAGGCGAUGGCCAUAGUGGACAGAGGGUUUGUUUUUUCCAGUCUGAUUCCACUAUCUGUUCCUCAAUUUUACAAGCGUGAGAUCAGGAAGACAGAGAAGAAAUUUUGGUUAUAUUUACUGCUGCUGUUAUUCUUUUUCAGCAAGAUGCCAAGGAGUUGGUUCACGUUAUGAGAUGUUGGCUGAAUUGUCGAGAAGAGAGGGAGAUGCAAACAUAAAACCUGAUCCAGAUAUCGAUGUCUUCAUGAAGGCUGCUGCUACUGAAGGUUAAGAAGGUAGCGUACUCACAGAUUAUACUCUCAAGCUAUUGGGAUUUGGAACAUCUCAUCUCUUUUGAAGGACAGGGUUAGGAAAAUUAAAGGAAACCCUGAUUUCUGUUGCUUCAUCUCUCAACAAAAUACUAUAAAUCAAGAAAAAACUGUAAAUCAAGGUGAACUACCACAUAUUAUAUACCAGGUUUGUUGUCUAUAUAUGUUUUUGUUUUUAGAGUAUUCACUAUCUGAUUUGCUGAUGCUUUUUAGAUAUUGUUCAAGAAUCUUGAUUUGGACAUGAAGGCAGUUACUCCAUUUCCCUGCUGUUCCUUUGGUUGAAGAUAUGAAUAUGUUUUUUAUUUUUCUCUUUUGAUUGCAACUGCCAACUAGAUAAUUAAAAACUGUUUGCUGAAAAACUUAUUGAUCCUUUACUUUUGCAGGGUGCUUCCAAUGGUAAUGGAUAAGGCAAGGGUAUUAAAGAUAUAUAGUUUCUACUAUAAAUAUUGUCCAGAAGAGUGUUUCAAGCAACAAUGGCACUUGUUUUAAAGAUAAUUAUGAAUACCAUGGUUUGAAUAAUGCAAGUGAAUCCCUUAAACAUGCCAUGCAACGUGCUAUUGGGAUGUGCAUCAAUUGAGAAGCUUCUGUCCAAAAGGGGCAACAAUUUAAUCUUUUAUCUCUCUUGUUGAAGCACUGAAGAUGAGUGAUACAAGAGUAUUGUUGUCUGCUCUUCACAAUGUCAUUUAGAUUUUAUCCAAUUGCUAGAAUCCACCUGAGUCGCUUGUUGACCGGUUUAACUGGUAAGUUAUUGGCGACAAGGUGUCUAGUUGGUAUGCAUUUGAUGACGUGUCAAUUACAUGCCAUGUCACCUCACCAAAACUUACCGGUGGUUAAAUUGGGAAUAGAACAUUUUUUCAGUGGAACCAAAACUCUAUGAUUCUUGGAUGGAACAGGUGACACAGCAUCCUGUUCUGCUCUGUUCUAAACCUGUUUCCUAAUAAUUAAUUAUUCUCAUCUUAUUACAUCAUUUUUAACUCCUUAAUUUAUCAAUCUAAUCAUUAUUAAUUUCAUUCUUGUAAAACCAGGUGUCUAUGCCAUUUAAUGACUGGUUUUCCACUUUUCACAGCGGAAGUGGACAGAUGGUUUCUCUUUGCCAGUUUUAUUCCACCAUUUGUUUCUCAAUUUCAGAAUCUUGAGGUAUUUUUGAAUCCUUUUGGUUUUAAUCUGUUAACCAAAUUACUAGAGGUGGGAAGUUCCUUUGUUGCAUUAAACUUACACUUUUAUUGGGCUUGUGACCUAUUUUUUUAUUUAUUAGAUUAGGGAUUCUGUUAUGGAAUACUAUAAUUGUAGGUUGUUUCUGCCUUUUCAAUUUUCAUGAACGCAAACUAAUAUUUUACUCUUUUUACAGGAUGUUGCCACCUGAAACCAUUGUGGGCCCCUUUAAACCUAACCUCAUUUGGAAACCAACAUCUCCAAAGGAGCUGUCAUCACAUGUUAUGGGAAAGACAGAAGAAAAUUUCUUUUACCAAAUAAUAUUCAUAUUUAGUCCAAGGUAUGUCAUCUCCUACUGCUGUUAUUCUUUUUCAAUUUCAAAUUUUUCAUUGACAUUAUAAGAUACAAUUGUGUGAUACUCCAGAAAUAGGAAAGUACUUUCAUUUCAUAAUUCAUACUCCAGGUAUGUUCCACCACUAAACCACUCUAUAUUUUGCUGUGUGUCAUAAAUUCAGUCAUGUCCUGCUUCUCUUUGUCUUUUACAAUUAGCAUUGUGCUUUAAUUUUACUUUGAAAAAACUUCCCAUUAACUCAUUGUGCAUUCAAAAACAUCCAUUUUGCAUUGAGUUUUCAUAAAUCCUCCUAUUUUUAGCAUCCUACUUUCACUUUUCUUUAUCUAACAUCAAUGAAACAUCAGACUUCUCUUUUUCUCAUCUAUGCAUUUUACUUUGAAACAACUUCCCUUUAAAGCAUUCUACUUUCAAUAAAAAUCAUCCAUUUUGCAUUGAAUUUUCAAAAAUCAUCCCAUUUUUAUUUAGUGUUCUACUUUUACUUUUCUUUCUAUAACACCACUGAAACAUCAAACUUUACUUUUCUCAUCUAUGCAUUUUACUUUUUAAAAAAUUUCCAAUUAAAGCAUUCUGUUGUCCACCAAAUUCUACUUUCAAAAUCAUCCCUUUUUUUAGCAUUGUACUUUAACUUUUCUUUUUGUAACAUCAUUAAAACAUCAAAUUCUCUUUUCUCAUCUAUGCAUUUUACUUUCAAAAAAUUCCAAAUAAAGCAUUUUACUUUCAAAAAUUUCUAUUUUACAUUGAAUUUAAAAAAAUCAUCACAUUUUUAACAUUGUACUUUACCUUUUUCUUUGUGUAACAUCAUUGAAACAUCACUCUUAUUUUUUUUUUCUCAUCUAUGCAUUUACAUUGAAAAAACUUGCAAUUCAAGCAUUCUUUUUUUAAAAACUUCCAUUUUACAUUGAAUUUUCAAAAACCAUUCUAUUUUUAGCAUUGUAGUUUAACUUUUCUUUCUGUAACAUAAUUAAAACAUCAAACUUCUUUUUUCUCAUCUAUGUGUUUUCCUUUGAAAAAAAUUAGACAUAAAGCAUUCUACUUUCAAAAGCUUCCCAUUUUACAUUCAACUUUCAAAAAUCAUCCCAUUUUAGGAUUGUACUUUAACUUUCUUUUCUAUAACAUCAUUGAAACAUCAAACCUUUUUUUUUCUCAUCUAUGUAUUUUACUUUGAAAAAUCUUACAGUUAAAACAUUCUACUUUCAAAAACUUUCCAUUUUACAUUGAGUUUUUUAAAAUAAUCACAUUUUUAGCAUUGUACUUUUUCUUAAUGUAACAUCAUCGAAACAUCAAACUUCUCAUUUCUCAUCUAUGCAUUUUACUUUGAAAAAAGUUUCAAUCAAAGCAUUAUAUUUUCAAAAUUUUCCAUUUUACAUUCAAUUUUCUAAAAUCACCCAUUUUUAGCAUUGUACUUUAGCUUUUUCUCAUCUAUGCAUAUACGUUGAAAAAAACUUAUAAUUAAAGCAUUGUACUUUCAAAAAUUUCCAUUUCACAUUCAUUUUUCAUGAAUCAUCCAAUUUUUAUCAUUUUACUUUAACUUUUCCUUAUGUAACAUCUUUGAAACAACAAACUUCUCAUUUCUCAUCUAUGCAUUUUAAUUUGGAAAAACUUACAAUCAAAGUAUUUUAUUUUCAAAAACAUUCAUUUGACACCCGAUUUUCAAAAAUAUCUCGUUUUAAGCAUUGUACCUAAACUUUUUCUCAUGUAUGCAUUUUACUUUGAAAAAACAUUACAAUUAAAGCAAUCUACUAUAAAAAACUUUCAUUUAACAUUCAAUUCUCAAAAAUUAUCCAUUUUUAUCAUUAUAUUUUAACUCUUUCUUUAUGUAACAUCUUUGAAACAUGAAAUUUCUCAUUUCUCAUCUAUGCAAAGCAGAGAAAUGAGAAAUUUCAUCCCCUUUUUGAGAAUUGAACGUCCAGAAUCUUGAAGCAAAGCAGAGAAAUAACGAGUGAUUUUCAUCCCUUUUUUUCUUCGACAUGUCUGCUUUCACCCAAAUCGACGCCUCUCACAGGCGAUGGUCAUAGUAGACGUAGGGUUAGUCUGAGUCCACUAUUUGUUUCCCAGUUUCACAAUCUUGAUGUAUUUUUGAACCUUGUUGGUUUUAUUUUGUUAUGUGGGAAUGCAACAGGUUCUUCUAAGUUCCGAGCUCAUACAGAUAGGUUCUGAAGAGCGUUUAUUGCUAAUUACAGAGGUAUAUUUUGUUUUUUUUCAUCUUCUUGACUUAGGUGGGAUAUAUGAUAUCAACCACCUAAUCCUUGGACUAUGGGGAUUCUUGGAUUAGUUGCUGAAAUUCAUGCAAUGCCAAAUCUCAGUUCUUAUGUUUUCAAUUGAAGUAUGUUUGAAUCUAUGUAUGUGUAGCACAUGUACUAUUGUGAUUUUGUACAUAUUCCCAUGUUGGUUUUCCCUUUUAGAUAUUGUUCAAGAAUCUUGAUUUGGACAUGAAGGACAGGGUUAGGAAAAUUGAAGGAAACCCUGAUUUCUGUUGCUUCAUCUCAACAAAAUACUGUAAAUCAAGGAUGCUUCCAAUGGUAAUGGAUAAGGCAAGGGUAUUAAAGAUAUAUAUAUAUAUAUAUAUAUAUAUAUAUAUAUAUAUAUAUAUAUAUAUAUAUAUUGUCCAGAAGAGUGUUUCACUAGCAACAAUGUCACUUGUUUUAAAGAUAAGAAACUCUGAAUACUCUGGUUUGAAUAAUGCAAGUGAAUCCCUUAAACAUGCCAUGCAACUUGUUAUUGGGAUCUGCAUCAAUUGAGAAGCUUCUGUCCAAAAGGGGCAUCAACAUAAUCUUUUAUCUCCCUUGUUGAAGCACUGAAGAUGAGUGAUGCAAGAGUAUUAUUGUCAGCUCUUCACAAUGUCAUUCACAUUUUAUUCAAGGUCAUUGAUCUUGCUCCUAAUUGCUGCCUAGAAUCCACCUGAGUCGCUUGUUGACUGUUUUAACUGGUAAGUUAUUGGUGACAUGGGGUCUAUGCAUUUGACAAUUCUAUGACCUUUAUUAUAUUUACCUUUGAUGACGUGUCAAAUACAUGCCAUGCCAUGUAACCUCACCAAAACUUACCGGUUGGUUGGUUAAACGGGGAAUAGAAUGUCACCAAAACUCUAUGAUUCUUGGAUGGAACAGGUGACACAGCAUCAUGUUCUGUUCUGAACUUGUUAACUAAUAAUUAAAUAUUCUCAUCUUAUUACAUCAUUUUUAACUCCUUAAUUUAUAUUAAUUUCCCAGGUGUCUAUGCUAUUUAUAUUUAAUGACUGGUUUUCCACUUUUCACAGUGGAAUUUGACAGGGUUUCUUUUUGCCAGUUUGAUUCAACCAUUUGUUUCCCAAUUUCACAUUUACUUGAGGUAUUUUUGGUUUUAAUUUAACUGAAUUUUACUAGAGCUGUGAAGUGCCUACGUUUCACCAAACUUACACUUUUAUUGGGCUUGUGACCUAUUUUUUUAUUUAUUAGAUUAGGGAUUCUGUUAUGGAAUACUAUAAUUGUAGGUUGUUUGUGCCUUUUUAAUUUUCAUGAACACAAACUAAUGUUUUACU
Non-coding RNA from Lactuca sativa (garden lettuce), 5798 nucleotides. The record is from RefSeq and is a predicted model, not a curated record. NCBI's taxonomy places the organism in Eukaryota, Viridiplantae, Streptophyta, Magnoliopsida, Asterales, Asteraceae.